RNAcentral lists this long non-coding RNA (3674 nucleotides) under Sus scrofa (pig). Its description in RNAcentral is "lncRNA (ENSSSCG00035033595.1)". Lineage: Eukaryota; Metazoa; Chordata; Mammalia; Artiodactyla; Suidae. The record is from RNAcentral.
UUUUUUUUUUCUUGCAACUCACUCCAAGGACUUAAUUUAAAAUCUGUAGGACUGUGUAUAUGGGAUGUCGAGACAUAAAAACGACAACAACAAAAACGGAAUUUCUUGAAUGGGUACUGAGGAUAAAGUAGAAAAUAGAUUAGAAAUUUGUUAUAGCCUUAGUGGGAGGUAAUUUAAAAUUCUGUUAAUUUGCUCCAGGUUUCAGCAUAAAAGUUUCUUUUUGCUAGUCUGAUCCUAAAUCAAUGACCUAUUCUUUCAAGUGAAUGUUUGCUAUUUUCUUGAGUUCUGGUCCCAAUUUUGCUUUCAAAUUGAAAUUCUAAGCCCAAGGUCCUAGCCUCUGAAUUUCUAUCCCCAAGGCCAUAUUUUAUUCUAAAAAAGACUUUCCAGACAUGGAUUUGUGAAUUCUUGAUUGUCAAGGAUUACUCAUCACUGACCUUCAAUGAGAAACCACAUUACUCAUACAGCUUUGCUUAUUUUGAGAUAGCCUGUCCAUUUGACAAACAAAACCUGUUAGGUUAAAGCUAGAUCAGUUUCAGAUUUUCCUUAGAAUUUUGCUAAGAUUCUGAGCAUCAAACAUUCGUCAAGGUGUCUGCUGUAGAAGCUCCUGGGUUCUUCUAGGCUUGGUGAAGCAGGAAAUUAGAACUCUGCAGUGUUGGGUUGAGUACGCCAUGAUAGAUAGGUACAAAAAGGCCUAGUGGUUCAUUCUAAGCUUUAGACCGCUUCUCGUAUUGUGGAAAAAUCUUACAGAUUUGGAUCAGAAGAGGUUUUAAAGAAUUUCUUGAAUGUCCCUGAUCUUUCCAGAGACCUCUGGUCACAGGCAUUAAAAGGCAGGAUCCAAAAGUUAGGAUGUCUAAAGUCAUAAUUCUAGCAUUGUUUGAAGCAGAAUCUGAGAGUUCAACACUCAUUUCCUCAUCUUUUUCAUUCACUGGAAAUGCACACAGAUGCUGGGACAGCUGGUUUCAUUGGCAAUGAGUCUUUAUUGCUUGCAAGAGUGUACCCUGUAUGCCUGGGUCUGUGCCUUCUGAGAAUUCUGACCAUCUGCCCUUUCAGUAAAGCUUUCUACCCAACGUGCAUUAGAUUAUCUUGCUCAAGUUUAAUACACACUGAGACUGGGCCUCCAGACGUUCUGGAAAUUUAAUGCUCAGAUAUAUAAAUAACACUCAGAUAAAUUGAUGCUCCGUCUCUAUGUACUUUGGUCUUAUUAUGGAAAUGUAAUCCUCAUGGAUACAAUUUGCUCCUAGAGAGAGAUAAUAUGUUUCUAUUGUUCAGAAAACUUAUUCCAUCUAGUGAUGUUUUUCUAAAAUAUAUCCACACUAAUCAUAGGGAAAUUCUCUUAUAGGCAGUUUCAUUAUGGUUCAUUUCCUAUUUUAUUCGGUGGAAUCUGUUUUAUUUUCAGAGUGAAAAUUAGAUUGUUAACAGCCCCUGGGCCAUGGGAGCUCAACUGGUUGCCAUAUAGGUUAGACAAUAAAACAUGGCUGCGUAUCCAGGAUGACCUGUACACUAGGCAUUAUCUAGCUUUUAGAACAUGUAAGCCAAUUCAGUUUUGUGGGAUAGGGUUUAUAUUUUUGGUUUUUGUCUUUGUUGGUAGAUCUGCCACUCAAGGGUAUUAAUUCAAGCGUAGAACUCAAAUUAGGAAAUGAAUUCUGGGAAUAAAUUACCAGGUUAAUCACAUGUACUGAGAAGCACAGGCUGAUGCCAAGUCACCUUCUGGAGGCUGCAUAGUAUAAUGGCUAAAAAAUAUUCUAGAAUACAACUGUUUGGGUCUAUCUCCCAUGACUACUGAUUAUUCCAAUGUAAUUUUAGGCAAAUCACUGGACUCGUGUAUUUUCAUCUGUUUAAGUGUUGAUAUUAAUGUUUUUCUUAUGUUAUACCUAAGUCUGGCAGGGUGAUCAAAAAACCCAUUCCUGUGACACCUGGACCUCUGGUCACCAUGGCCUUCUCAGCUUGUGGCUAUUGCACUGGUUUUCACGACUGGGCAGAGAAGAACCAAGAUUUGUCCAGAUAAAUUAUUUAGUGCCGCAUGCAUUCUUUCUUGCUCAUGCUAUAUCAAAACAGAGAUAUAGCAUGUUCAUCACUGUACCUUGCCCAAAAGUUCUCAGGAAAUUAUCACUGAUUUGAUGAAUGAGUGCAUAAGUGUGCGGAGGUUAAAGCACUUUGGAGUAGCGAUCUCUAAAUUGGAGUAUGUACAUUCCAGGUUUUAUACAAAAUGAUUUAACGAAAUGUGGGAAGUUAAUAUAUUUAUAAUUCUAAUUAUUUUGAUUUAUAUAAAUAUGCAUAGACUCUAUGGUUUAUAAUUUACAUGACAUAUUAUUAAUCAGGAUAUAAAAAAUGCAUAACUGCAUAUAGAAAUGCAGAGUUUCUCAUAUUUUUUGUAGGUAGGGAUCUAUGACAAAAUAUUGGAGACCCUGGACCAGAGUAUUUCAGAAUGCUUGGUCAUACUUGGUAAUGCUCUUACCACAUGUUCUGUAGAAGUAAGGACAAAUAUACAGUUGAUUCUAUACACCACUAAUGCUUUUUUGAAUAAAAUAUAUUCUAUGAAAUAAAAAAAAUUAGGAUUCGUGUUGAGGCUCAGUGGGUUAGGAACUCAACAUAGUAUCUGUGAGGAUGUGAGUUUGAUUCCUGGCCUUGCCGCCAAGCAGCAUAGGCUACAAACUGGGUUCAGCUCUAGUGCUAACAGCCCGGGACCUUCCAUAUACUGCAGGUACAACCAUAAAAAGAAAAACCAACAAAAAACAAUACCUUGCUGUGAAAUAAACUAUAAUUAAUAUACAUUCUGAGGAAAACCUUGUUUCCAUUUUUCUGAAAACCAAUCCAGUUUAUAUAUAUCAGUUUCCUAAUUUUAUUUAGAGCAGUUCUCAACGAUCACUGUAAAGCAACGUAUUUCAUAGUUUUUAUGUCUCUUCAAAUAUUUUCACAGUAGUUUGAUUAUUUAGGUAAAAUUCAAGAAUUUUUAUUUUACUUAUAUCUCAUAAAUGUAACUUGUUACUUUUUAUUGUACCAGUCCUGUUGUUUCAGAUUCUCAUUAUUCAAUGUAUCUCUCUGUGUAAACCACAGUAUCUACUUCCAAAAAUAUGGGUUUUUCAGCAUUGUGGCAGAAGUUUCUAUGUUAUUUAUUUAUUAGAGCUGUGAUAAAUUCUACAGUCUUUUAAACAAAGCAGAUUGCAAGAAAAUAAAUGACUUGUACAAAGUCAUUUAUUUUGUCCUCUCUUCAUCUUUAGAUAUUCCUGUAUACCAGCCAUAGCUCUGGGGGACUAUUCUUGUUGUCUGCUGGUAGUUUGGUGUCAGGGCCAGAAUUAAACUCAAACUGGUAAAUAUGGACAUAGACAUAAUCAAAAUUACGGUUGAUUGGCAAUGCUACAAUGAUAAGCUUGGCAUCAUAAAACUAUUUGGAAUCAUUAAUGCUGCAUUCAAUGUUGCACUCAGUAUGUGGUAUUCAGAUUACCAAAAGUUGUUCUAUAAACAUGAAUACAUUUGAAAAAAUAUGUCUAAAAUUCAUGUUAAUGUACUUUUAUCUGCCUCAUUUCAAAACAGAUUUUAGAAUAAGGUCAGAGUAUAAAUUGUUUGUUUUUGCCUUUAAAGAGAAAAGAGAUGCAAAAUUGUAACAGGUAAAGCAGCAGUUGCUACAGAGAAAUAUAUGUUGUGGAGUAGAAAAACCUAAUAUCUAAACCUAGGAG